GUGACAUCACUAGCUGCCAGGAGGUAGCAAGUAUCAGGUUACUCUUUUGGUGUAGAAGAGGCAUGAUGGGAAGAGGAAGCCUGUCCUUUGUUGGGAGGAGUCGUUUUAACAUGGAGGCUGCCCCUGUGGUAGCCAUCUUAAGGUUCUACUGUGUUAUCUUUGAGAGCCACUCCAGGGACUGGUGAAGUAUACUUCUAAGUGUGUCUGGAUAGAUCAUAAGGCAUUGCUUUCAUUCCCUGCUAUUUCGACAGCUGCCAUAAACUAAGCAGCUUUUCUCUACCACACCCUUUUACCACAUCUCUGCCUUGGAGCCAGCCAGCUAAUCAUGGACCAAAAACAUGAGCAAAUUAAACUCCUCCUCCUUAAAAUGUGAGUGUUGGGGUCAU
Molecule: long non-coding RNA, 386 nt
Filed under: Fukomys damarensis (Damara mole-rat)
Lineage: Eukaryota; Metazoa; Chordata; Mammalia; Rodentia; Bathyergidae
Description: lncRNA (ENSFDAG00000023977.1)
Source: RNAcentral